RNAcentral lists this ribosomal RNA (253 nucleotides) under uncultured bacterium. RNAcentral describes it as "partial 16S ribosomal RNA". It matches the Rfam family "Bacterial small subunit ribosomal RNA", at positions 524 to 776 of the family's 1533-position model. The record is from RNAcentral.
UACGGAGACUGCAAGCGUUAUUCGGAUUCAUUGGGCGUAAAGGGUGCGUAGGUGGCGCCAUAAGUCGGGUGUGAAAUCUCGGGGCUUAACUCCGAAACUGCAUUCGAUACUGUGGUGCUCGAGGACUGGAGAGGAGACUGGAAUUCAUGGUGUAGCAGUGAAAUGCGUAGAGAUCAUGAGGAAGACCAGUGGCGAAGGCGGGUCUCUGGACAGUUCCUGACGCUGAGGCACGAAGGUCAGGGGAGCAAACGGG